AUUGAACGCUGGCGGCAGGCUUAACACAUGCAAGUCGAGCGGAGACUUCGGUCUUAGCGGCGAACGGGUGAGUAAUACCUAGGAAUCUGCCUAUUAGUGGGGGAUAACGAAUCGAAAGGUUCGCUAAUACCGCAUACGUCCUACGGGAGAAAGGGGGGGAUCUUCGGACCUCUCGCUAAUAGAUGAGCCUAGGCCGGAUUAGCUAGAUGGUGAGGUAACGGCUCACCAUGGCGAUGAUAGGUAGGGGGCCUGAGAGGGUGGUCCCCCACACUGGUACUGAGACACGGACCAGACUCCUACGGGAGGCAGCAGUGAGGAAUAUUGGUCAAUGGGCGCAAGCCUGAUCCAGCAAUGCCGCGUGUGUGAAGAAGGCCUGCGGGUUGUAAAGCACUUUCAGUGGGGAAGAACAGAUUCGGGUCAAUACCCCGGAGCCCUGACGUUACCACAGAAGAAGCACCGGCUAACUCCGUG
Molecule: ribosomal RNA, 471 nt
Filed under: uncultured bacterium
Lineage: Bacteria
Description: bacterial SSU rRNA
Rfam family: Bacterial small subunit ribosomal RNA
Source: RNAcentral